This 253-nucleotide ribosomal RNA is filed under the name uncultured bacterium. RNAcentral describes it as "partial 16S ribosomal RNA". It matches the Rfam family "Bacterial small subunit ribosomal RNA", at positions 524 to 776 of the family's 1533-position model. The record is from RNAcentral.
UACGUAGGGUGCGAGCGUUAAUCGGAAUUACUGGGCGUAAAGCGUGCGCAGGCGGUUGUGCAAGACAGAUGUGAAAUCCCCGGGCUUAACCUGGGAACUGCAUUUGUGACUGCACGGCUGGAGUGCGGCAGAGGGGAGUGGAAUUCCGCGUGUAGCAGUGAAAUGCGUAGAUAUGCGGAGGAACACCGAUGGCGAAGGCAGCUCCCUGGGCCUGCACUGACGCUCAUGCACGAAAGCGUGGGGAGCAAACAGG